UGGGUACAAUACAGGUGUUGUACUGAUUUAGCGACGGCUGUAUAAAAUACUGGUAGUACAACUCGCUAAUGUAAACAAGCACAAAGUCAUUACUGGAAGCAAGGCAACAGGAAGAACUGCCCCAGAAACUUUAUUCUGGGAGCUCCUGUGUUUCUGACAGCCCUCGUGAGAGCACGACAGGACAGCAGCGAGCAUUAGAAGGACCGAAUGCUUCUUUCGCUGCUGUGAAACAGGGAGGAAUUUAACCCCAAAAGAUGCAGACCUGCUGGUGGUAAGACAAGGAGCUGCCCUUGGCAUCCACGGGACUUCCCCAAUUAGCAAUCUCCUCCAGCACUUACCCUGCAGUCAAAUCCAAGCUCUUCCAGCACUGCAUUUGAUGUGAAGUCAAUACUGAGAAGGUCGGCUCUUAUGCAGAAGCUGAAACCCAAACAAUUCCUCUCUCCUAAUUUGGAGAUCAGAUUGUCCAUUUGGUUCAUGUAUACAGGUGUGCCUCAAUGGAGAUGCAGAACUCUGGCCAGCCACAGCUCUUGCCACAUCUUCAGCAGAGCCAUCAGAGUGAGCCUGCAUGUACCUGCCCAGCAGCACCAGCAAAGGCUCCACUCUGCCAACGUGAGCCCAGUCUGAGGGAGAACUGCUCAUCACCCUCAUCCUCCUCCAGGACUUUGCAUUAGGUGCCAUGAACAUGCACAACCCUGGUGUCACUGAGGCUUAACUCUAGGCAGGUGCUCCCUGGAUCAGGACCUAAAUGGUUAAUUUUCAAGUGGCUUCUUAGAGCAGAUGUUCCCAUGUGUAUCCCCUCCUUCCUUCUUCUGACACAUUUCCUACACAAACAGCAGAUUGCAUUGCUGCUGUCCUUUUGAUCUGCGGGAGGGGGAGGAAAAUCCCACACAAAUUAUAUUAGUUCUCUUUUCAGGCAGGCUGGUGAUGGUGGGUAUGGGCAUGUGCCUCCCUCCCACCUCUCCCUGCCCAGAUGCUUUUCCUGGGACUUUCUUUUUUAGUCCCUGCCCACUUCUGGAGCUGCUUUUAAGGUUGCUUACCUUAAAGUCUGGAAAGAAAGAGGAGGUAAGGGUGGGCAAAUUGUUAAAAAAUUGUUGUUGCAAAACACUGCUGUCUGCCUAAACACAUUCAGAGGCUGAGGUACUGUCUGCUCCACCUGCUGCCAUGCUGCUGGCUCUUGUGCAUGGCACUUGGGUACCUCCACUCUUUGUGGGCACUGAUGAGUUAAGCCACACUGCCUGGGUGAGGCUUAAGUCCUUACCAGUCAGGAGACUCUCUUUGAGCUUGUGUCUAGAUCAUUCCCAAUCCCAAACUUAGUGUCCAGCCUAGCGGACAUGGCCAUAUAGUCUCAGGCUGGUUGAUGAGGGACAGCUCUUGCAGCCUCUGUGAGAGGUGACUCAGGGUGGGGUGGCAGGACACCGCAGGGUCAGAUCAUUAUGGGGAGAUCAGGCCUUCCCUCUUUCUUCCAGGAUGAGAACCAGGAAGCAGAAAACUCAGCAAGAUUGGGUUGAGGAUGAAUUAAAGAAGGUGAUUCUCUAUGGGAUUGUAGUUAAGGUGUGCAUCUCCUUGAUACAGCACCUCCAGGGUGUCAAGACUGUGUAGGUUUGAAGGACCAUGAGAAAAUGUCAUGGUUAAUAAAUUCAUCAAAAGGUGUCAAAUGCAAUGCACAGAACUGGGUUUAUAAAGCCAUACAGUGCUGACAGUGUGAAGAAUAUUCUGGGGUAGCAUCACUGAUUGCUUACCACGUUCCUACAUUCAUCUGACCACAUCACUGCUGUUCUUUUUUGGAGAGAAGACACUAGGUUUGAUGUUCCUCUGCUCUGUCCCAGGAUGGCCUUUUACAUUAUUAUCCUGAGACAGAGAAGAAAGCUUUCUGUCACUCUGCUUUGGGUGGCAGUUGCAGGAGCCCUCAAGAUGUAUGAUGGAGAUGUUGGAGGUAAGGUGUGAUGGAGCUGAUGGAGUCAAGGUCUGGUGGCCACUCAUUUUUCUAGCAUCACCCACCUGUGGCUUGACUGGGGUGAAAAAGACAAACAGUUCUGCCUGAGCUCCUUCCUAGAAGGACCAGGCAUGGCUGUUCAGGAAGGACUUUUUGGGAUGUCUGGAGGGCUUAACACAGCCAGUGUCCCUGGCCUUGCCACAGCAGC
Molecule: long non-coding RNA, 2141 nt
Organism: Haemorhous mexicanus (house finch)
Lineage: Eukaryota; Metazoa; Chordata; Aves; Passeriformes; Fringillidae
Exons: 4
Source: RefSeq, a predicted model, not a curated record